Molecule: ribosomal RNA, 200 nt
Filed under: uncultured bacterium
Lineage: Bacteria
Description: partial 16S ribosomal RNA
Rfam family: Bacterial small subunit ribosomal RNA
Source: RNAcentral
AACGAACGCUGGCGGCAGGCUUAACACAUGCAAGUCGAACGCUCCGCAAGGAGAGUGGCAGACGGGUGAGUAACGCGUGGGAAUCUACCUAGUUCUACGGAACAACUGAGGGAAACUUCAGCUAAUACCGUAUACGCCCUACGGGGGAAAGAUUUAUCGGAAUUAGAUGAGCCCGCGUAAGAUUAGCUAGUUGGUGGGGU